GUCUGGGUGCCAGCCCUUGAAAGUGGAAAAUUAAUGACCUUAAUUCCCAAACUGGUUCGCCCAGAGCUGUGCACACGGCCCACCCCCUCCCCCUGUGGCCGGGCGGCCCCAGCCCCGGCCCAGGCCCGGGCCGUGCUGGUUGGUCCCUGGAUCUGGAGACGUGGCUUGGCGCUCCUUGCUGAAGGUCCUGUUUGUCCACCACAAGGGGCCUCCCCUGGACCUCCUGAAUCCUCUGUCAUCAGUUUCGGCUGCCUGAAGCCCCGACCAGACUUCACCCACUCUGCUGCCCACAACCUAGCCGAACGGUCUGAAGAGAGAAGAAGACUCCAGAAAGAAGGCUCCCGUGGCUCUGAGUCUUCCUGCCCAGUCCUGUGGGAGAAGCUCAGCCUGCAGGAGGGCAUGGGGAAUCCCAGCUGGGAGCAUCAGCCCUCACGGACCAGGAGUUGACCAGUAGCUGACCCGUUUCCGGACCCUAUAAACUUGGUGGAGAGACGAGAAGGUCCAUUGGGAAGAUUUCUUUGAGGAUCAUUCCUGAGCCAGCAAAGACUUCUUGAUGUGGUCUGAUCAGUCCUCAUUAUGCGCGAUAGCAACAAAGUGCCCCUGGUCAUCCCUUGCCACCCCCACUUCCCACAUCCACCACUGAUUGCACUGGCUCAGCCCCGUGCAGUGGGUCUGCCCACAUCGAUCGAGAUAGCCCAUCCAUUUCCCCAUCUUCCUCUUUGGCACAACGCAGACUCAGGCCUCAGAACCAUCAUAAUCACUUCCACUUAUGGUUGUUAACCAUGUUCCAGAGGAGAUGGGGACUGUCAUUACGCCCAUUUUACAAAUGAGCAAACAGAGGCUGUAGACGUUAUAUGACUUAGCCCAACUCACAGGAGGCAGCAGAGUUAGCGUUUAAACCAGGCUUGGCUGGCACCAUGUCCUACAUUUUCAGCUGCUCUGCCUUCCCACCUCUAGAGCCUCUGGAUGCUGAAGGCCUGGUUGAAUCUGCACACAAGCCACUCAGCACCGAGGUGCAGGAUGCGGGUGGUGGGCGGUGCCCAUGCCGAGGUGCAGGCUGGGGAAAGCAUGACCCACAGGUGCAUGGAUUGGGUGGGGGCCGUUCCCACGCCUGUUUGCGGGUCAGAGGGACAGAACCUGGAAGCUGGGCCUCUCUCCUCCUGACAGAAGUAAGGGCCUGAGUCGAUUUCUCACUGAGCUGAAGUCAGGCCAAAGCUGCUUCCUCACAGGUGUGGAGUUGCUCCCCUGUUGGCUGGAAAUUUGACUGCGGUUGAUUUAAAAUCCCGACACCUGUGUCCAUCACCCCACCCUCCACUCUGAUUACCGUCCCUAUAAAGUUCCUAAUCCCUGUGCUUAUGCAGUGUCCUUCCCCUCUGACGGGCCGGACCUAUGUAAGCAGGAGAUUGGGUUAUUAUGUAGAAGAGUUAUAAUAAGAAAUAUGACUGCAAAAGCCAAGUCAGUUGAAAUUGGACUAUAAUUAAAUGCUUAGAAAAUUC
Equus quagga is the source of this 1496-nucleotide long non-coding RNA. RefSeq lists it as uncharacterized. The record is from RefSeq and is a predicted model, not a curated record. The transcript is spliced from 3 exons. Lineage: Eukaryota; Metazoa; Chordata; Mammalia; Perissodactyla; Equidae.